GACGAACGCUGGCGGUGCGCCUAACACAUGCAAGUCGAACGGUGAACCGGGCUUCGGCCCGGGGAUCAGUGGCGAACGGGUGCGUAACACGUGGGCAACCUGCCCCCGACCCUGGGAUAACCCCGGGAAACCGGAGCUAAUACCGGAUACUCUCCUCCGAUCUCAUGACCGGAGGAGGAAAGGUCCGCCGGUCGGGGAUGGGCCCGCGGCCUAUCAGCUUGUUGGUGGGGUAACGGCCCACCAAGGCAUCGACGGGUAGCUGGUCUGAGAGGACGACCAGCCACACUGGGACUGAGACACGGCCCAGACUCCUACGGGAGGCAGCAGUGGGGAAUCUUGCGCAAUGGGCGGAAGCCUGACGCAGCGACACCGCGUGGGGGACGAAGGCCUUUCAGGUCGUAAACCCCUUUCGGCAGGGACGAAGCGAUCUCGUGACGGUACCUGCAGAAGAAGCCUCGGCUAACUACGUGCCAGCAGCCGCGGUAACACGUAGGAGGCGAGCGUUGUCCGGAAUCAUUGGGCGUAAAGAGCGCGCAGGCGGCUUGGCAAGUCGGGUGUGAAAUCCCGGGGCUCAACCCCGUGACUGCAUUCGAUACUGUCAGGCUAGAGGUAGGUAGGGGAGAUCGGAAUUCCUGGUGUAGCGGUGAAAUGCGCAGAUAUCAGGAGGAACA
RNAcentral lists this ribosomal RNA (671 nucleotides) under uncultured soil bacterium. RNAcentral describes it as "bacterial SSU rRNA". It matches the Rfam family "Bacterial small subunit ribosomal RNA", at positions 28 to 708 of the family's 1533-position model. The record is from RNAcentral.